GACGAACGCUGGCGGCGUGCUUAACACAUGCAAGUCGAACGGAAAGGCCCUGCUUUUGUGGGGUGCUCGAGUGGCGAACGGGUGAGUAACACGUGAGUAACCUGCCCUUGACUUUGGGAUAACUUCAGGAAACUGGGGCUAAUACCGGAUAGGAGCUACUGCUGCAUGGUGGGGGUUGGAAAGUUUCGGCGGUUGGGGAUGGACUCGCGGCUUAUCAGCUUGUUGGUGGGGUAGUGGCUUACAAAGGCUUUGACGGGUAGCCGGCCUGAGCGGGGGGCCGGCCACAUUGGGACUGAGAUACGGCCCAGACUCCUACCGGAGGCAGCAGUGGGGAAUCUUGCACAAUGGGCGGAAGCCUGAUGCAGCAACGCCGCGUGCGGGAUGCCGGCCUUCGGGUUGUAAACCGCUUUCGCCUGUGACGAAGCGUGAGUGACGGUAAUGGGUAAAGAAGCACCGGCUAACUACGUG
Molecule: ribosomal RNA, 468 nt
Filed under: uncultured bacterium
Lineage: Bacteria
Description: partial 16S ribosomal RNA
Rfam family: Bacterial small subunit ribosomal RNA
Source: RNAcentral